AACGUACGCUGGCGGCACGCCUAACACAUGCAAGUCGAACGAAGUAGCAAUACUUAGUGGCAGACGGGUGAGUAACAUGUAGGUAUCUGCCCUUUGGCCUGGAAUAACACGAGGAAACUUGUGCUAAUACCGGAUAAGUCUUUACGGAGAAAGCUUUAUGCACCAUUGGAUGAGCCUGCACUUGAUUAGUUUGUUGGUGGGGUAAUGGCCUACCAAGACUGUGAUCAAUAGCUGAUUUGAGAGGAUGAUCAGCCACAUUGGGACUGAGACACGGCCCAAACUCCUACGGGAGGCAGCAGUGGGGAAUCUUGCACAAUGGAGGAAACUCUGAUGCAGCGAUGCCGCGUGAGUGAAGAAAGCCCUUGGGUUGUAAAGCUCUUUCGUCGGGGAAGAAAAUGACUGUACCCGAAUAAGAAGGUCCGGCUAACUUCGUGCCAGCAGCCGCGGUAAUACGAAGGGACCUAGCGUAGUUCGGAAUUACUGGGCUUAAAGAGUUCGUAGGUGGUUGAAAAAGUUAGUGGUGAAAUCCCAGAGCUUAACUCUGGAACUGCCAUUAAAACUUUUCAGCUAGAGUAUGAUAGAGGAAAGCAGAAUUUCUAGUGUAGAGGUGAAAUUCGUAGAUAUUAGAAAGAAUACCAAUUGCGAAGGCAGCUUUCUGGAUCAUUACUGACACUGAGGAACGAAAGCAUGGGUAGCGAAGAGGAUUAGAUACCCUCGUAGUCCAUGCCGUAAACGAUGUGUGUUAGACGUUGGAAAUUUAUUUUCAGUGUCGCAGGGAAACCGAUAAACACACCGCCUGGGGAGUACGACCGCAAGGUUAAAACUCAAAUGAAUUGACGGGGACCCGCACAAGUAGUGGAGCAUGUGGUUUAAUUCGAAGAUACGCGCAGAACCUUACCAACACUUGACAUGUUCGUCGCGACUCUAAGAGAUUAGAGUUUUCGGUUCGGCCGGACGAAACACAGGUGCUGCAUGGCUGUCGUCAGCUCGUGUCGUGAGAUGUUGGGUUAAGUCCCGCAACGAGCGCAACCCUCACUUUUAGUUGCCAUCAUUAAGUUGGGCACUCUGAAAGAACUGCCAGUGAUAAGCUGGAGGAAGGUGGGGAUGACGUCAAGUCCUCAUGGCCCUUACGUGUUGGGCUACGCACGUGCUACAAUGGUAUCUACAACAGGAAGCAAGACUGCGAAGUUAAGCAAAUCCCUAAAAGAUACCUCAGUUCGGAUUGCACUCUGCAACUCGAGUGCAUGAAGCUGGAAUUACUAGUAAUCGUGGAUCAGCGUGCCACGGUGAAUGCGUUCCCGGGUCU
This 1306-nucleotide ribosomal RNA is filed under the name uncultured bacterium. RNAcentral describes it as "bacterial SSU rRNA". It matches the Rfam family "Bacterial small subunit ribosomal RNA", at positions 28 to 1381 of the family's 1533-position model. The record is from RNAcentral.